RNAcentral lists this ribosomal RNA (639 nucleotides) under uncultured bacterium. RNAcentral's name for it is "bacterial SSU rRNA". It matches the Rfam family "Bacterial small subunit ribosomal RNA", at positions 83 to 719 of the family's 1533-position model. The record is from RNAcentral.
UACUGCCGGCGACCGGCAAACGGGUGCGGAACACGUACGCAACUUUCCUUUAAGUGGAGCAUAGCUCUCGGAAACGGGAAUUAAUACUCCGUAACAUUAUGAAGUGGCAUCAUUUUAUAAUUAUAGAUUAAUCGCUUAAAGAUGGGCGUGCGGCUGAUUAGGUAGUUGGUGCGGGUAACGGCCCACCAAGCCUUCGAUCAGUAACUGGUGUGAGAGCACGACCAGUCACACGGGCACUGAGACACGGGCCCGACUCCUACGGGAGGCAGCAGUAAGGAAUAUUGGUCAAUGGACGCAAGUCUGAACCAGCCAUGCCGCGUGAAGGAUGACGGCCCUCUGGGUUGUAAACUUCUUUUAUCUGGGACGAAAAACGGUCAUUCCUGAUCACUUGACGGUACCAGAGGAAUAAGCACCGGCUAACUCCGUGCCAGCAGCCGCGGUAAUACGGAGGGUGCAAGCGUUAUCCGGAUUUACUGGGUUUAAAGGGUGCGUAGGUGGGUAGGUAAGUCAGUGGUGAAAUCUUCAAGCUUAACUUGGAAACUGCCAUUGAUACUAUUUAUCUUGAAUACUCUGGAGGUAAGCGGAAUAUGUCAUGUAGCGGUGAAAUGCUUAGAUAUGACAUAGAACACCAAUUGCGAA